CGCUAUCUAUUAGACAUUUAAAAAAUUUUAAAAAAAGUUGAGUUUACGUGGUCUCUUUCCCUCGAGUUUCUUGCUUUUCCCCCGUGUUUCUUUUCACUAUCAACCAAAAUCCCUAGAGUUUCUUUUCACUAUCGACCACAACCCACUGUAUCCUAAAUUUCAGAUUCAUCAAACCCACUGCCCCAAUUUCACUCUUUAUUUUCGCUCAAAUUUCAUGCGUUCGUCUUAAAUUGGUGGAACACGUCACUGUGGCUUUGGUGGAGCAAGUCGCUCGCGGCAACAAGAUUUAACGCGUUGCCCUGCGUUCCGAAUCGUGGGGACGGUCAAGAGUAGAAUUGUUAUUGCAGGAAUGGUAAAGUGAGGAGAAUAAAGAAGAAUGACGUGCGAGAAGCCCCACUUACCAACGUUCCUUUCUUCCUCAUCUUUCACGUCCAAGAAAUCCCAUUCCUUCGCUCUAGGCAAUGCAGGGCAAGGGUUCACUCUGCAAUUGAUCAACUCUUGCUAUAUUAAAGAUUGGAGAAAGUGAAGAAAGACAGGGGUUGCACCGCCAAAGAGUGUAUCAGUAAAAUGCCUCCCUGUGUUGUUGGAAAAUGGAGCUCUAUAUAUCGCAGCGUCACCAGGUAAGGUUCAGUUUUGAUGAAAUGAAUGGAUCUCUUAAAAUGGUGGGAUAGGUGUUAUCUUUCACAGUUUUCAUGAUUUUGCACUCAAGUUUGAAGAUUUAGAUUGUAAUGAAUUUGGUGUUGUGUCUAUGUAAAACAUGUUUUCUUGCCAAUUAUAUACCUUGAUUUGUUAAAUAGGAUCUUCUAUCACAGGUUGUUGUGUUAACAACAUGGCUAAGCUUUACCCUCUUGAAAAGACCCUUCUAAACGGUGACUCCAGUACAAGCAGCAACUCUGGUCCCAUUAAGACAAAAGGAAAUGAAAAUUUAAGCUGAAAUUCAUAAUGCUGGAUUUUUUAAUAUUCUCACUUUCUCGUGGAUCAGUCCAUUAAUAACAGUAGGCAAUGAGAGGACUUUAAACCAUGAGGACAUCCCACUUUAAACUAAGGGAUUUUUCAAACUUUUAGAAGCAAACUAGAUUUAGAGUGUGGUAGUGUUAGGAAUUUGACAACUCUUAAUCUUCUUAUCAGGUUUAUUGGCAUUCUUGUCUACAUGUGUUUCUUAUGUAGGACCCUUUCUUAUUGAUAUCUUUGUUCAAUACCUCAACGGAGAACACAUGUUUAAAAAUGAAGGAUAUGUUUUGACUGCGGCAUUUGUUGCUGCAAAGCUUUUGGAGAGUCUUUCAGACAGGCACUGACUGCAUGUUCAGGUUGCAGCAGUAUGGGGUUCAAAUUCAAUCCAAGUUGGUGGCAAUGAUCUAUGCUAAAGGUUUGAUUCUUUCAUGUCAAUGAAUGGAGGUUCAUAGCUAUUGGUUUAUUUUUAGAAAGCUUGGAGCACUUUAUUGUUCACCUUAAAUUGUCCAUCCUAUCAUCCCAAAUAGUACAGGAUUUUUAAUUCUGCCCAUUUUGUUUCCGUGAGUUUGGACUAAUACAAUUAGCUUUAAAGAAAAUAAUUACACAUGAUGCGACACCUUGUCUAUCCACUUUUGUAAGUUCUUGGAUCAUACCAAAAUUGGUCUUGCUCAUUCACCAUUAUGACUUGCCAAUAUCCCUACACUUCCUCAAUGAUUUAGGUUAGGUGGCUAAUGGAUUAGUCUCCAAAGAACCUUAUACGUUGGUUGGCUAUGCUUGUGGGACAUCAUCUCGUCUUGGUAUAUUCAUUAUAACAUAUUAUUUUGACCAAAGUUGGUCUUGCCUCAAGUCACGGUAGUGACUUCGUUAUACCAUCAUUUCAAUUAAUUAAAUAAACUCCAUUCUGUAUGUGAAAGGGCUGGAACUGUGGUCUCAUUUAUUAUCGUGUAUUGGUUCUUUUAGACAAGGAUAGCUUAUUGUUGCUUCUAGCCGUGGAGGAGAUUUUGUGUGGAACCAACUCUGUUUCAAUUCCUUUCCCAAGAACCAUCGAACUCUACCAAUUCUCAUUUUCUGUUAGUGCCAAUUUUUAUUCCGUUUUUCCUUAAUGGUAAGACUUUUAGCUAGAAAAAAGUAUAAACUAAUUGUGUAGAUCCUUGAUUUUUUAGUCUUUUCAUCAAGUGAAUGUUAGGAUUAUGGAUUAAAUAUCUUGCAUUUGUAACAUAAGAAAGUUAAAUUAAUUCCUGUAAGCUAAAAUGAAUUUUUACAGUUAAACUUUUAGAAAAAAAAUAAGAGAGGUUUUAUAACACUUAACUAAUUCUUAAUUUUUUAUUACUGAAAAAAUAGUUACUUGAUAAGACAGAAUAGGUAUUUAAUUUUUAAAAAAUAGCUACCAAUUACUACCUCAUUAUCACACCUUAUACAUUAAGUCCAAUUAAAUAUAUGAUUUUCUUUAUCCCAUUAUUCAUACUUUAGAUACCUCUUACGUGAAAGACUAGACCAUAAUGGUAGAUUUGGUUUUGGAUAACUAAAUUAACAUACUCUUUUGUGUAAAAUAAAUAGUGAACAAGCAAAAAUUCAUAUUUUAGUGUAGCUAAAAUUCUGCACAUGCCAAUAGUAUAUGUAGUUGCCUUGAACCCUCCAUGGUUCGAUUAAAAUUUGCUUUUCUUGCAUCAAGUUUUUUUUCAUGUAUACAUCUUUCAUGUAAAAAAUUAUGCUUUGAUAAAAGAUUGAAUUAGCUUUCUUGCUGGACAAUUUGAAUCCUUAAAAGUUGGUGCAAAAUUUUACAAAUUUUGCCAAUUUCAACUAUUGCAAUUUUCUAACCAAUUUGAUUUUUUUCACAAUUUUCGUGUCAACAACUUUUAGUAACAUUCUCCAUCAAGUGUGAAAGUAUUCGUGUCUACAAGUUUGAGACAAAUGUUAUUUUUCUAAUUGCAGAUGACAACAUCGUGACAAUCAAAUAAUUGAAGUUGAGGAAGAUUGAUGUUUACAUGUAAU
This 2943-nucleotide small RNA is filed under the name Vigna angularis var. angularis. Its description in RNAcentral is "Non-protein coding transcript". The record is from RNAcentral. Lineage: Eukaryota; Viridiplantae; Streptophyta; Magnoliopsida; Fabales; Fabaceae.